Molecule: non-coding RNA, 5446 nt
Organism: Phalacrocorax carbo (great cormorant)
Lineage: Eukaryota; Metazoa; Chordata; Aves; Suliformes; Phalacrocoracidae
Source: RefSeq, a predicted model, not a curated record
CCCGGGCCCCAGAUGCCUGGUUGUCCCCAGUGACACCACCUCAAAACUGGUGCUCGUUAGGGCGUUGCAAUUUGUCUUACGCCAUGGUGCGACUGGUCCUGAGAAUAAUGACUAAGGGGUAUCUAUAUGUAAAUAUGUCUCAAUCUGGUCAAGAAAAUAAACACCUACUGAGGCAUGGAAACAAACUCCACAACUCACGGAGAGUUAUAAAGCAGAUCUCAGAAAUCUGAAAGAUGCUGUGAAGACAUUGGACAGAUGCCAUGGCAACAGCCUCCAAAGGAAGUAUGUUGGUUUCACUGCCUGCAAGGAUAUGCUGCCACAGGAAUUAUUCUUGUCCUUUGUGGGAUAAAAAUAAUCUUGUUCAUUUACAUAUCUUCAAGCCUGUUAAGAAAGAAAGGUUUUUUUAAUAUCAUUAUGCAAUUGUCUUUGGUAUUCAGGAACACUGGAUACUACUAGGGUAUCGAAUGGGCAGAGCACGCAUUAGCCCCCAUGCAGGUUGCGGGUGAGGAUAGAGUUCACUGCCAAUAGUGAACUCUAGCCUGCUCAAAGCUCACAGACUCAUGUACUAGCAACUGCUGAAUGGCACCAGCCUAAAUUCAGCACUGGCUAAUUCACCCUUCUGCUUUGAUGCACAGGAAGUAGUUAAAAUUAUUUAGAAGGUGUCACACCUGGAUUUCAGGACUGUCUUUUUGAUGUAGGAAACAGCAGUCUGUCACUGCAGCCUGAGUCUCAUCGCAGCUUCUGCACAGUACUUUUGGUCCAGCCAGGUCCAGUGAUAGGAGAAACUUGUUGUUGUGACAACACUGUGACCCUAUUAAGCAUCUAGAUCAGAGUUUAUUGAAUACUGUGGAGGCAGGUACCUUUCUGUAUCCCCUAACACCAUGUUCUGCAGCCUGUCUGAUCUGGUUGGGGUUGAAAAACUGAAGCAAAAUGCAACACUGGAUAUGCCCAUCCAUUUUUUUCUUCCAUCCCUCUGGGGUACAAGCCCCUCUGCCUCAAGCUGAUCCCAUCCAAGGCCCAUAGACCUUCCUGACCUCCUUGCUCUGCUCUGGCACUUUUCUGGGGAAGAGAGGAAUCAUCCACUUCCAGUCCCUUCCCACAACUAAAGCAGAGCGGCCUUACAGAUAAGUCCAGCUCAGGGACAAGGAGACCAAAAUCAGGGCUGGCUAGGCAAUACAGAGGAAGGUGGGUAUGAGCACCAAAUGACCUCAGUGGCACUUGUUUUGCAUAGGAUUGGUGUCAUAUUACGUAGCACCAUCACCAGGGUGCAGUACAGCCAUACAGUCCCUGAUGUGACUAUGGUGGGGUUUGCUCCAAAACAGAGUAGUUGUAUUGCUUCUACAAAACUUGAACACUGCUGAAAGGAUUUGUGUGUGGCAAAUGCAAGACUGAUAACCAAGCAAUUUCAGUCUAAUGUCAUCAUUAGACUCCCCCAAAUUCAUCAGUGAUAAACAAUAAACUGCUUUUUCCUGAGGAAAGGUAUUUAUUUUGCGCAGACCAGCUGCACACUCACCACAAAAGGCUUUGGUGACCAAACCCCAUCUUGCUAUGUUAUCUGAAAGGCUGCCUCAUCCCCGGGGAGAGCACCGGCCUGGCCAGGCCCACAGCAAGCACGAAGGAGACCCCGAAGGAGACCCCGGCAGCAACACAGUACCACACCCCACCACAGCCUCCCCACCCAGGACGGGACACCCCUGCGUCCCAGCCCGGGCCAGGAGCGGCGCCCACCGCUAAGCCCUCAGGCUCAGGUCCCAGUCCCGGAGUGCCGUCCCGGCGCCAAGCCCAGCCACAGCAGGGCGUAGAGCCACCCCACACUAGGCCCGUGGCCCCGGUGUGACAGCAGAUGGUAGCAGAUACCCUGCAUCCAGGCCCUAGCACUCACCAUCUUGCUGCAAAGAAUUCGGAACAACAGAAAAGGAACUUUAAUUACUGUCCAUCACGAUGCAGAGGAGAUACACCGUGUCUUAGAAAGAGUGAAGAAGGAUGGAGAACACCACUGGUGGGACACUUUACCUUGGAUGGUCACCGACCGCAACAGGAAUCUUCAACAAGAUGCUUCGCCCUGUCGUGGUUUUACUAAUACUUACCAUAUUGUGUUGUAUUUUAACAAUUACUUUGUAUGUUAAACUUUGGAUUAUGAUGAAACAUUUGUCUCGCCAAAUGUCCCCACAAGAUAUAUAUGUCCUCGAUAAUCCUCACCACAAGAACGCAUGUGACACACCCAAUGCAUCCCAAAUCUUGUGAAGCUUGAGUGACUAUAGUCACGGGGUGGACUAAUGUGGACUAAUUAUGUGGACUAAUCGCUGGAGGUGACUUAGAAAUUGAACUUAUGUUUUUAGAAAAGGUACAGCAUGGAAUGAGCUUUCAGGGUACAGUGUAGCUGACAGGUGAGAAAACCAUGCCAUGGAAGUCCCCUAGGCUUGUAACCUUAGAUGUCGGCAAUGCCAGAAGAACUUGGCGUACUGACUCUAAGAGGAUCUGUCUGGAGGGUGGAGCGGUGUGGAGGCAUCGCGGCCAGGCUCUGUGAUAAAUGGGAGCUCGAGGUACCAUGGAGCUGGUACGCUGCACAUUUGCUACCCUGGGCCAACAGUCUGUCAUGCUUUUGACAAAAUGCUGUCCUUUUCAGGAACUUUGCUCAUUAUAAUAUCGUCAUAAUACCAAAACACACCACCAUCCCAAAAGCUACCUGCCUCUAAGGUGCAACCACCCCUCACUGGGCAUGUGCUUUGACCUUUUCUAGUCUACACCUUUAAAAGUAAAGUGAGGAAAUUUUACACCAAUCCUAAUAAAGGUAUGUAUGACUGGAGUCACUCAAGCUCCACCUGAAAGAUAAAAAAUAGUGUAAAAGAGGUUAAGAGAAAAAGGGUGUUAGGGAAGGUACCAUCGCGUACCACUCUGACUUCUGGGUUCAGCCGAUUGGCUGAGCCUCUCUUCCCCCCCAUUGGGAUGCCUUUGGGUAAGAUUUGAGCACUUGGUUAUACCAAGCAUUUCCGCGGAAAACUUAGAAACCUCUCUAUACCUUCACUUUAAAUCUCCAAUGCAUUAGAGUCGCUUCAUAUUUGCUUAACGCACUUGUAUCCUAGCAGUGCUAAUAAUUUUCUUAGUAUUUUUGUGUCUUGUAACCAGCAAUUCUAUCACUGGUAAUCCAAAGAACUUGUGUAUCUGUUGCUUUAAUAAAUUACACUAUUCAUUAAUCUAGCCGUGAUUGUUCUCACUGAACACGACCGGCCUGGGCAGCUGCAAAUUAGUUACUAACAACAAAUACUCUGAUGAGUGAUUACUUCCACAACCCUUGGAAGAUAAACCGUUGACCAAGUCUGAGACUAAGACUGGACUUAGCCGCACCUAGGCUCCUCUCGGAGAAGGAGUUUAGAAAGCAAGGGGUUCCUGUCUGAACCUCGUGACUCAACGGUAGGGUGUCCCCCUAGCCACUCCUCAGACUCCUACUAUUAACGCAACAGUGGGGAGGCAAAUAGGCUGGAUGAUCUUCUGAGGUUCCUCCCGGCCAUAUUUCUGUGAUGCUAUGAUUGUAUAAAAGGCCUCUAAGUAUAAAGACAUAACUGUAUCUCUAAUCUUCCUGAGUGUCAUUUUGGGGUCCCGACCCUUGGACCGGACUAAUGUCAGCGGUCUGCUGAAGAGGGGAGUGCCACGAUGAGGCCGAGGUGAGGGGCAGAGCUAGGUGAAGACUUGGUGGUCACCCCUUGCUUAGCCCACAGCCCCAACCGUGCAGACUCCAAUAAUGUGCCUCUGCCACUCCCUACACUGCUUAUCAGCUGCCAGAAAAUUAGGCCUAAACUUAUGUCAAGAGCCUAGACAGUUUAUAACAGAACACCCUGGGGGUUGUAUUUAAACUAAAUCAAGAAGCUGUCACCCACUUGCAACUAAACACUAAUCACAAGCACAACUCGUGGCUGAGGGUUUAGUUGUGUGGCUCCUUUAAAUUACAGAAGAGUGAACAUUUUGGCUGAACCAUGAGGCCUUCCUCCCUCCUUGCCCCUCAUUUAUCUACCCAAACAGCCCCUGUUCAGCUCCAAGAGUCAUAGCAGGGUGUGUUGCGGUGAUUAAGACACUGGGUACAAAGAUAUGUGGGGACUAGGAACCUCACACCAGCUAUAAAAUCAGCGAAUGGGAGUAACUCGGUGGAGCUGCCUCUCAUCUGGUCUGAGACCCCCACCACCUUUGACCUUGCCACAGACUACUGGAACACUGCACAGGUCGUAUUCCCCUUCCCCCAGUUCCAUGUAUCUUGCUCUACUAAUUUCUGUCUUGGGCUUACAAUAUAGGUUACAAUAUAGGUUAAAAUAACUUGCUUAAGGACAGUAGAAAAUAUAAUAAAAUUGUGGUAUAUGUUAACCGCCUGGCGUCUCAUCAGUGAAGCGCAUUAACAGACAGAAUCUGUCUCGCUGCGGAUAACAAUCUGGGAACAGUCCAUGACAGUCAUGUUCUCAAAUGCAUUUGACUAAUUUUAUGCUUGGGAAAAAAGGUCAGAUCUUCAUUAAUUCUGUGUUCAAAUGUUGUCUGCUUUUCCCAUUAUGUUAGUUGGCCAAAUAAAUGCUAUGGCCUCUACCUUACAAACCUGCCUUGCAAUGACAGGUUGUCAUUUUAAACAUACAUCCUUCCCCAGGGUAAUGUAUGCAUUUUCAAGAUUAUUCUAAAGCACGUUAAGCCAAAAAGAUUUAUUACUGAACAAAAGAAAAGCAAAUGUUGCCCAGUCAUAUCUGUAUAUAUGUGUAUAUAUCUCUAUGCAGGUGCAUACACGUGGAUGGAUACAUACUUAGCAGUAGUUGAAAUGUUUUCUUUUAUUAAAAAAAAAGCAACACACAAAAGCUUGUCUGAUUCAUAGCUAGACACAGCCUAAAUCUAAGCCCAGACAUUAUGGCUGAAAUUUGCUAACUUGGAAUUCCAGGACUGAGAGUCUAAAUGUAACUAACAAUGUUAAUUCUUUUAUACUUCCAAAUGUAAAGUUAGAUACUUUCAUGGUUUCAGCUGGGAUAGAGUUAAUUUUCUUCACUCUAGCUGGCAUAGUGCUGGGCUUUGGACUUAGUAUGAAAACAAUGUUGAUAACACACCGAUGUUUUGGUUGUUGCUGGGUAGUGCUUGUACUAGUCAAGGACUUUUCUAGCUUCCCAUGCUCUGCCAGGUGCACAAGAAGCCGGGAGGGGAGGGGGCACAGCUAAGAGAGCGGAUUCAAACUGGCCAAAGGGAUAUUCCAUAUCAUGUAACGUCAUGCCCAGUAUGUUAACUGGGAGGAGCUGGCCAGGGGAAGCAGGCAGCGAUCGCGGCUCGGGGCGCAGCAGCAUCGGUUGGCGGGUGGUGAGCGGUUGUAUUGUUUGCGUUUUUCUUUUUUUUUAUUUUUCCCUUUUUAUUAUCUUAGCAUUAUUGUUAUUAUCAUAAUCACUAUUAUAAUAAUUAUUUUAUUGUAAUUAUUAAACUGUUCUUAUCUCAA